This 301-nucleotide ribosomal RNA is filed under the name uncultured bacterium. RNAcentral describes it as "partial 16S ribosomal RNA". It matches the Rfam family "Bacterial small subunit ribosomal RNA", at positions 509 to 809 of the family's 1533-position model. The record is from RNAcentral.
CAGUAGCCGCGGUAAUACGAGGGGGGCAAGCGUUGUUCGGAAUUAUUGGGCGUAAAGGGUGCGUAGGCGGUUUGAUAAGUCAUCUGUGAAAUCUCUGGGCUCAACCCAGAGUCUGCAGGCGAAACUGUCGGGCUUGAGUAUGGGAGAGGUGAGUGGAAUUUCCGGUGUAGCGGUGAAGUGCGUAGAUAUCGGAAGAAACACCUGUGGCGAAAGCGGCUCACUGGACCAUAACUGACGCUGAUGCACGAAAGCUAGGGGAGCAAACAGGAUUAGAUACCCGAGUAGUCCCUGUCUCUUAUAA